AUUGAACGCUGGCGGCAGGCUUAACACAUGCAAGUCGAGCGGGGUGAUGGUGCUUGCACUAUCACUUAGCGGCGGACGGGUGAGUAAUGCUUAGGAAUCUGCCUAUUAGUGGGGGACAACAUCUCGAAAGGGAUGCUAAUACCGCAUACGUCCUACGGGAGAAAGCAGGGGAUCACUUGUGACCUUGCGCUAAUAGAUGAGCCUACGUCGGAUUAGCUAGUUGGUGGGGUAAAGGCCUACCAAGACGACGAUCUGUAGCGGGUCUGAGAGGAUGAUCCGCCACACUGGGACUGAGACACGGCCCAGACUCCUACGGGAGGCAGCAGUGGGGAAUAUUGGACAAUGGGGGGAACCCUGAUCCAGCCAUGCCGCGUGUGUGAAGAAGGCCUUAUGGUUGUAAAGCACUUUAAGCGAGGAGGAGGCUCUUUUGGUUAAUACCCAAGAUGAGUGGACGUUACUCGCUGAAUAAGCACCGGCUAACUCUGUGCCAGCAGCCGCCGUAA
This 503-nucleotide ribosomal RNA is filed under the name uncultured bacterium. RNAcentral describes it as "partial 16S ribosomal RNA". It matches the Rfam family "Bacterial small subunit ribosomal RNA", at positions 30 to 523 of the family's 1533-position model. The record is from RNAcentral.